GGCUCAGGCCAGAGGCUGUGGUGAGAAGCCAUGAAGGGAGGCAGGGGCAGGGCCAGCUCCACCUGCUGGACUGGGGCAUGUUCCCCUCCAGGCAUAGGCUGGGAAAGCAAGGGCCCCUCCUCCAGCUUCCCAGGAAACUGCUUCUUGCUCUGAUUGAUGAUGAUGAGAUUUGACUGGUGGCUUGAUUCUGCCCUAGACUGGUGAAGGCCAGCUGGUAGAUGGAGCAUCCACACAGGAAGAGGCUGGCUGUGCCCCUUUGGUCCCCACCUUGAGAGAAGUAGGCAAAUCCUGUGUCACUGAAUACAGUCUGGCAUCAGUGGUAGAUGUGGGGGAUUUGUGGGUGCAGGGGGAUCUCCUCAUGAGCUAGGAGUAGGAUGUCUCCUAAGUUGAUGAGUCUGGAUUCCAGUGAAGAUCAGGUUCCUCUGAGCCUUGUAUGUAUGUGUGCAAGAGGUGUCUGUGACCUCCCACAAAGGUCCUGUCCCCCUGUUCUGUUGCACCAGGAUGAAUGUGACCUCUAGAUGCUCCUGGCUCCCAACAGUCACCCUGGAAUGGGAGACAACAGGAGUCAUAUCCCUGGACUCCCCCUGGGCACUGAGGCCUUGGGUGCAUAGGGUCAGGCUCCCUGGGGACAAGUAACCUUCGAGAGCUCCAGUCUGUUCCAAGCAUGCUCUCCUGCCCACAGUGCCUGGCCGCUGGCUCCAUCAUCAUGAACCGAGAACUCGAAAGCAUGGCUAUGCGGCCACUGGCCAAGGAACUGACCCGCAGCCUGGAGGAUGUGCGGAGCACACUCCGUGACCAGGCGCUACGGGACCUCAACACCUACACGGAGAAGAUGCGGGAGGCACUGAGGCAUUUUGACAUCCUGUUUGCUGAGUUCGAAUUGAGCUACGUCUCGGCCAUGGUGCCUGUGAAGUCCCCCAGGGAGUACUACGUGCAGCAGGAUGUCAUUGUGCUGUUCUGCGAGACCGUGGAAAGGUAAGGACAAGCUGCCCAGGGUGGCAUCUUGUCUGGGACACCCAGGUGGGAGCACAGCAGCCUCCCCUCCCCCUCACUCACCUACUGGUGGGCAGAAGGCAGAGUCCUUACUCACUUGCACCCAGGUUCCCUCUGUUCCCAUAGGGUAGGCACCACCAGUAGAGGCCUAUGAGCUGGAAGGUGGCCACUGUCCAGACCUCCACCCUGGUCCCCUUGUCCCCUCACUCCUGCUGCUCUUACCUCUCUGCCUCCUCAUCCUCAUCGCCCACCUCCCUACUUCUGCGGCUCCUCGCUUUGUGGGCCCCUGAGGGCUCAGGCCUGCCCACCAUGGUUCUGUGGAUGGAUCAUUGCUGCUUCUGUUAGGCCUUGAUCUGAUUCAGUCAGAUUCUCGAAAUAGACUCUGGGGCCAAGAUUCACCUCAGAGUGUUGACUGUGGUGUUAGUUUGGAAACUGACUCAAUCA
RNAcentral lists this long non-coding RNA (1437 nucleotides) under Nannospalax galili (Upper Galilee mountains blind mole rat). RNAcentral describes it as "lncRNA (ENSNGAG00000024408.1)". Lineage: Eukaryota; Metazoa; Chordata; Mammalia; Rodentia; Spalacidae. The record is from RNAcentral.